CGUUCUCUUCCUCCUCCCUAUCUCGCGAGAAAAGAUGGAAAAGAAGCUUCCUUCUCACGUUCCCUUCUGCCACCCUUCAUUUAGAAAUUCCGUCCUUUUUUCCCGAUUUCUUGCUUGUCCGACUGUACAAACGUCACUGAUUUUCCCGUGGCAACUGUUCGACCUCACUCGGUCCAGAAGAUCUACUUUCCACGAUCUUCGGCGCCUUCCCAUGCAUUCUCCGGCGUUGGCCAUCACGUUAACCAUUACGUGGCUGGAGCUGCGUAAUAUGAGGAGGGAUGUCGGCAAGUUUUGAACAAGAAAUCUUUCAGUGGAUCCGAGUUCAGAUUUCCUCAAGCUAAGAAGAUUAAGCAAAGUUCACCAAUAUAUUAAAAACCGCCUUCUGGAUACUAAAUAUGCUUUUGCAUUCUUCUUCAACAUGUUUGGGUCCAAGCAAGAGGAAUUUGCAGAGCUGAUCUUGGUGGAUGGAAAUGUGUUGUUUUGGAGAAACCUUUUGGUAAGGAUCAACAAUCUGCAGUACUUAGAUUGGAGAGUUGUUUGAGGAGCCACAGGAUUAGCGCAUUGAACAUUAGUUGGGAAAGGAAACUUGUGCAAAACUUGGUGGUAAAUGUAUAUAUACUGAAUUUCUUCUGGCUUGAUUUAUGCAUUGUGCCUAAUCCCCUCUUCAUUUGACUUAUAUUGGUAUUUGGUAGUUAGUUGUUCGAUUUGCAAAUUGACUUUUCUUGCUUCUUUGGAACCGCGACAACAUUGACAAUGUAUAUUUUCUAGACUUUUUCUUUUUAGUGACACUACUGGUCUUUUUUUCAAUUGUGAUUCUCAUUCUCACGCUUUGGUUUUUUUGGUGUUGGUUUUGAAAUGGUCAUGCCUUUCUUCUAUGAAGAGGAUGGUCAUCAGGAGUGCUGCAAGUGAGGAAGGUUAGACUCUUGAGUAGGGAACUUAGGGCCUCACAUCAUGGAUUAUUGGGCAGAGAAUGGAUCAGUCACCACCCAUCUGAUUGAUGACAAAAGAAAUUGUGUAAGAUGCAAGGAGGAAUGUUUUUGAAGGGUGUUGAAGAUAUACGAGUUCAAGCUGAUAUGUCCAAUUGUGGCAUUAGGAGGGAAAAGACUGGUUCUAGCAGUGAAAUUUCUAUUCAAUGUGUUAAUGCUUAGUAACAUUCCUUUAAAAUAUAAAAAAAAUUGGUUUCAUUAAUACAUGUCUUUGGACAUGGCCGCCGUCGUUUCUUUCCUAUUAAAAAAGAAACUGAAAAGAAUGAUAUGUGCAAUUGUGACUUUAGGAGGACAAGGACCGGUUUUGACAGUGAAAUUUUUAUUCAUUUUAA
Lotus japonicus is the source of this 1318-nucleotide long non-coding RNA. RefSeq lists it as uncharacterized. The transcript is spliced from 5 exons. NCBI's taxonomy places the organism in Eukaryota, Viridiplantae, Streptophyta, Magnoliopsida, Fabales, Fabaceae. The record is from RefSeq and is a predicted model, not a curated record.